This 17108-nucleotide long non-coding RNA is filed under the name Podarcis lilfordi (Lilford's wall lizard). The record is from RNAcentral. Lineage: Eukaryota; Metazoa; Chordata; Lepidosauria; Squamata; Lacertidae.
CACCAAGAGAGGCUGGAUCCAGCCACCUUUUGCUUUCUCAAAAUGCCCCCGCCUCCCCCGAUCUCUCUAAGGCAGGGGUGGGGAAAUCUGUGAGCCUCCGGAAACUCUGGCCCCAGUGAGCCUGGCCAAUGCUGAGGGGGUGUGUGGGGUGAGUAGGAUUUGUGCUCCGGGAACAUCCAGAGGGCCAACAGUUCCCAGCCCCUGCUCCAAGGCAGCCUGGGAAAUUGGAAGGCUGGCUAGACCCAAUUAAGAGGACAGCUGCUUGGUGCAAUUCUAUUAUAGCUGCAAACAGGGUGAGGUGGAGGGAGGCGCCCAAACCUGAAGCCAGGCCUGUUCCCCGUUGCUGGAGGUUGUGAGAAACCACAAGAGCCGCAAGGGAUCACAGGUUCAUUAUAUAUAUAUUUUAGGGUACCAGGCAAAAACGUUCCUCUUCAGUCAGGCCUUGGGCUGCUUCAUAUUCUACAGCCUCUUAAAUGGGUUUGUGGGAGGAGGGAGGGCAGUUAUUGUUCUGCUGUUUGUGUUUUAACUAUUUAUCUGUACUUUUGCACCUUGUGUUUUGAUCUUGGGAACCGGCCUGAGAUAUUUCAAUGAAGGCCAGUCUAUAAAUCUGAUUAACAAACAAACAAAUAAAACGAGGCUGUUAAAUGGGUGGAGCAGGGCUCUUUCAAGGAGUGGCUCCAACAGGUGGUAAAAGAGUGAGGGCCGAACAUGGUGUUAACUCUGAAUUUCUGCCCUUGCUGUGCUGAACAGCAACUUUUGUUCAGUUUGGUUGUUUGAACUGUGAAAUCCAGCAAGAGAGAGAGAGGGAAAGAAAGAAAGAAAGAAAGAAAGAAAGAAAGAAAGAAUACAUAAAGUAUACUGUGAGAAGUCAAUCAUGUUGUUCAUUUACAGUAGAAACAUUUAAUUUGCACUGUAUUGUGCAUUGUUUAUCAUAAGUCAUUUUAUAUUUCUGAGAGAAAAGGUGUGUUAAAAUGUUCUAAAUAAAAUACAUACCCUUCUACUUAGGAGUACAGUGGUACCUUGGGUUACAGAUGCUUCAGGUUACAGACUCCACUAACCCAGAAAUAGUUAAGAAUUUUGCUUCAGGAUGAGAACAGAAAUUGUGCGGCGGCGCGGCGGCUGUGGGAGGCCCCAUUAGCUAACGUGGUACCUCAGGUUAAGAACAGUUUCAGGUUAAGAAUGGUCCUCCAGAACGAAUUAAGUUCUUAACCCAAGGUACCACUGUACUUUUUAAGUCACCCUGGGGCCCUCCAGAUGUUUGACGGACUCCAGCUCCCAGCAACCACAGCGAGCACGACCAAUAGUCAGGGAUGAUGGGGGUUGUAGUCCUGCAACAUCUGAAGAGUGCCACAUGGCCGACCCCACUUUUAAGGUCUCCCACCCUCCCAGAUUACAUAAAUCUAAGGUGCAGUCCUAGACCCAUUUACCUGGAAGCAAACUCCAUUUAAUUCAAUAUGUCUUACUUUGGACUACACAUAUAUAGUAUUACUCAGUACAUGAUUAACUCUAAUCACAAGUUUGCAACAUGUAUACAGCUAUAUAUAUGAGUUGUAGUCAAUCAAUCAAUUUUGCAUAUUGAUUAAUCAAUCAAUUAAAUUUGCAUCAACAUAAAAGCAGCAGUCCUGAAGUAAAUGUAUUAUUUCUGUUUUUAAAAUGCACUAUUUUAGAAGACAUAUCUCCACCUGCAAUGGGAGAGGGAGACUGGUGGCUUUUCAAAGACGACACAUACUCAGCAUUUAUGUACUAAUGAAAUAAUGGCUAAUUAUUUCAAAAUCUGCCUGAUUAAUUGGGGACACCUUUUUAUCAAACUGUUUUUAAUUAUUAAUCCUACCAAUUAAUCAGCUAAAUUACUGGAAUUUCUUUCUUACCCAUUGUUUACAUGCAGCAUUAUAUUUGGAUAUUGGCUGUGGCUCAAUGGUAGAGCAUCCGUCUUGCAUGCAGACAAGUCACAGGUUCAGUCCCAGCAGCCAGGAAACAGGAAGUACUCCAAUCUGCCCCAGUGUUUCCUGAGUACAGUGGUACCUUGGUUCUCGAACUUAAUCCAUUCCAAGAGUCCGUUUGACUCCCUAUGGUUCAAAAACCAAGGCGCGACUUCCGAUUGGCUGCAGGAGCUUCCUGCACUCAAUCGGAAGCCAUGUCGGACGUUCGGCUUCUGAAAAACGUUUGCAAACCAGAACACUUACUUCCGGGUUUGUGACAUUCGGGAGCUGAUUUGUUCGGGUGCCAAGCCGUUUGGGAACCAAGGUACCACUGCACUUGGUCAUUGCCAGAACCCACGAUGCAUUGAAGCACUCCCUCCUGAGCGCUCAAAUCUGCAUUGCCCAUGGUUUCUCCAUGGUACCUUGUUUCCACAGUCAAAUUAUUUGGGGUCCAACAUGAUGAAUUGCUAGGAGGGCCAGAUCGGGCCUGAGGACUGUGUUUUGGAUUCUGAAACUGUACCGCCCUCAACUGUUUGACAGUCUCGUGCUCUUUUUGCUCUGCCUCAGUCUCCCUUGCUGUCCAGAAUUUGUUGUUGUUUAGUCAUUUAGUCGUGUCCGACUCUUCGUGACCCCAUGGACCAGAGCACGAGCACGAUCUUCUUCAAUUAUGUUUGUGAGGACAUAACUAUUUCUUCAGAUCCCUCUUUAGCCUUUCAACAAAGCCUCUCUAGCUCAACCUCUUAAACCCAACCCUCAUCACCCGUAACUCAGCCUAAGUAGAUACAACUGGAUCAAUCACAUUCACACACCCCUCUACACACACCUUAAUUUUCUUCCCUUUCCUUUGUCUUCCCCACUCUCAAAUGUUAUGACUGUAGUGGUGGUAGUGGUGUGUGGGGGGGUCCUUGAGAGAUCCCCACAGUCGAACACCCUGGCAUUUUUUCCUUGUGUAACCCUGCAGGACACAAUGUAUGCCGUUGGCUCUAGUAAACAUUAACUACCAAGGGUAAAAGUCACAAGUCACAAAUAAUAAUACUCAACAAAAGUGUUGCCAAAAUUGCUGCGUUCUGGGUUUGUUUGUUUUGUAACGAUACGCAAUGCUCUUUUACGCCACACAGAAGGGAGAAAAGGCAGCGGGGGAAGACAUGACACUUGCGACAUUUGUGAAAAACGGGCUCCAGCCUCUGUGAGAUGGGUAUGAGAGGAACAAAUAGGUUUCCCAGGGUGAUCGCCAUAGAAUUGCCAACAUAUUGGAAAUAGAAGGCUUCACACACACACUCUCUUCCUCUGUGUGUGUGUGUGCAGGUCAUGGAUGGAUGGCAGCUGUCCUUCCCUGUGGCACCCUCCUUGCCAGCUGUCGCUGUUUGACCCAGAUAGUUUGGGUUUAUUCCAGGUUUUCUGUUAUAUAUAUUUCUCUACCUUUCCUCCCCUAGACCCUACCCCUUCCCCAUACCUUAGAUAUCACAUUCCUCUGCCCCCAAACCAGCUCAUCAGUCCCUCUUUGUCUUCCCUUCUCCCACUCUUGUCUUAUUACCCACCUUGUGCCUGGGAUGGUUGUGGGAAUGUUGAGGGUGGCAGGAGAGGAUAUACUGAUUAUUAUUAUCCUUCCUAACUUGCGCUAGCAAGCUUCUUCCCUUAGCAGAGUGCAUUCCCCUUCUUACGCAGCAGAAAACUGGUUGCAGGCUCGUGUGAGCCUCUUAAGACAAUCAACAAUUAAAUCCAGCUUGCCCAGAUUGAGAUAUGUUCUAUUAUUCCAGGUAAGACCCCUUUGAUCCCUCCUAAAAGAAUAAAGACACAACAGUCUUAUUCAUAAGCAAAAAAAUGUAGUUUUACUCAUGAUCAGGCAUAGCACAGUGUGAUCCCUGAAGGCAGACUUUAGGCUUAAAGUUACAAACAUGUACAAACAGGUUUACCCGACAUGGGAGAUAACCUGGGGGACUGCUUGUUGGCAGCCAGCAGUACAGUCCAGGUGAAUCAGGAAGCUUGCAAGACGAAAACGAUUGAAGAGAGGGAGGUGGCUGCGUGACUUGGCCUUUUACCAGGUCUGGAAAGGUCACGCCCACCACUGGUCACAUGCAAGAGGAAGGAUGCUCCAGGCCAGGAGGAACAGGAAGUUUCGACUGGCUGGACCAAACAUUCCCUUGCAUGCCCACUCUAGCAAAACAAGGAAUGUUGUAUUUGACUGCUCCCAGUGGAUUACAUGCCACAUAGGGCUCCUGCCGUCAGUUUCUGCUUCAGUUCCCUUCAAACCCCUCUUCAAGACCUCAUUUUGAGCGGUGGACCGCCCUGCUUACAGAUCACUUUUCGGACACCAAACACGCCAGCCAACCAUUGCACGUUUUUUCCUGCACAAGCAUUUUUUAAUCCAAUCUAGCUGCACAAAGGUCUGAAUGUUUAACUCUAGCAGUUAUCAUGUUUGAAAAACACAUUCAAGAUUGACUGGUUUGCUUUGCGGCUUUAUAUGAGUCAUAGGAUCACAAAGGGACAAAUAAAUCGUAGGACUUCUGUCUCGGGGGCAAGAUUAUUUUUUCCCAUGACAGUUCUGAGAGCCACAGAUCUCCUGUCAUUGCAAUUAUUCAUGGGACCACAGGAGAAUCAUUUAAGUUCAACCCUGUGCUGAAAGGAGAUCCGCAACCCCACUAUCAAUUCUUUUUUUUAAUGGGAGGAUGGCCACUUGAAAAUUGCUGGAGAGUUCGUUGCAACAGUUAGUAAACUUUUGGGGGAAUAUGACAGAUCAAAGCACAUACACAUACUUUAAUAUGUGAUUGAUGUGCCUAUUUGGGGGAGCAAAGUUCUGUGAAGUUCAGUAUAAAGUUUCUCAGGUCAGGUUCAGCAAAAUUACACUUACCUGGUGAAUUUUUAAGGGAAAUUUUUUUAAAAGGAAAAAUUUGACUGCAUCAGUGCCAUAUUAUGAAAAUCAUGGCCCCUUUGCCAAAACCUUGUUAGCCUUUUUUGCUACCCUGGUCAAAACAGCCUUGAUCUCUGUCAUCAGGAAAAAAACGAAUUAAGUGCAGUGUCAAAUACAGAUAUUCUUUACUGUUCAAUAGCCUUUCCAAGGAAUGGAAUGGAAGCUUGCAGACCAAAGUUUGGCAGCCUUCCAACUCUACAAUUCUAUGAUUCUAUGAACCUCUGGCACAUGCAAUCCAGGGCAGUUUGCCACAAACCAGGAACCAAGUCAUUGCAGAAAAGUGCAACGUUGGCAAGUAGCUGACGAUGUCUCACACAAAUGAAGUGGUCAUUCCAUGCUCCUCCCCCCCUUAUUCCCACUUUUCCUGCUUCCCGACACAUCUUUCUCCCCUUCCUCUCUACUUAGUGGUCAACCCCCCAAUCACACUCAUCUAAAGUAGAUUUCAAACCCCACCAAUCUGUGGUUUGUACAGCAUCUUUUAAGACUGGAGCUUAAUUUCUAAAAAGAGAGGCUCUGGAGUAACUGGAAACUGGAACUUCCGUUUUCUCAAAGCCCUAUUUUCUAAUCCCACCAAUGUGUAGGUUGGACUAUGGGUUACUUACAUCUGGUUGACAUACCUCUUGGAGCUAGGAAUAUUGCAUGCAUGGUGGGAUACAGCCUCCCUGCUAUGCAUGCACUGUAAAGUCUGAACUGGGUGCACCACGGUCCCCAUAGACUUUCUAUCUCAGAGGAUUGGCCAAAUGCACACCUUACAUUUUACAUGCAGUAAGCUGCCCUUGCCACCCUGCAUUGCAUAACAUAUCCCUGGAUUUUCUGAAAUAAGUGAAGCAGGUUUUAGUAAGGAAGACAAUAAACUCGGCUAAUGUUUGAUGCUCCUCUUGAGCACUAUCAAUUCACAUCUUCCAGGGCUGAAUCUGGACAGUGAAAAUUGGCUUUGACAGCACAUCCUCAUUCUAUUAAGUCCUUGCUAAUGCACCAGGUCAAUACAGACGAUGCUACACCUAUCAGUAACUUAGCGCAGUGUUUGUAUCUGUGGCUGUGGUCUAAAUCACUGAGCCUCUUGGGCUUGCCGAUCAGAAGGUCGGCGGUUCGAAUCCCCGCAAUGGGGUGAGCUCCCGUUGCUCUGUCCCAGCUCCUGCCAACCUAGCAGUUAGAAAGCAUGUCAAAUGCAAGUAGAUAAAUAGGUACCGCUGCGGCAGGAAGGUAAAUGGCGUUUCUGUGCGCUCUGGUUUCUGUCAUGGUCCUCCAUGCGCCAGAAGCGGUUUAGUCAUGCUGGCCACAUGACCUGGAAAGCUGUCUGUGGACAAACACCAGCUCCCUCAGCCUGAAAGCGAGAUGAAUGCCGCACCCCAUAGUUGCCCUUGACUGGACUUAACCAAGGGUCCUUUACCUUUUUACCUUGUAUCUGGAGAAAUGCUUGUCCUUAGCCCUUUCCAAAACGGUAAAAAAAAACUUUACUAUGUCCCCGUUAACAUACAGAAGAGCCGGCACAUGACAAAGUUCUGGAGCGGCGCUACCGAGAACCAGCUCCCCACACGCUUGUACAUCAGGUUGCCAACUUUCCCCCCCAGUCCCUGCUCCUCUGCCUGUAGCAGCGGCUCGCUCUGCAGACAUGGAGCAAGAGAUACUGUUUCUCUCAGUGCUAUGAAAAGCUGUACAUACUCAGCCCUGCAGAUACAGUGGUACCUCGGGUUAAUUUGUUCUGGAAGUCUGUUCUUAACCUGAAACUGUUCUUAACCUGAAGUACCACUUUAGCAAAUGGGGCCUCCUGCUGCUGUGCGAUUUCUGUUCUCAUUCUGAAGCAAAGUUCUUAACCUGAGGUAUUAUUUCUGGGUUAGCGGAGUCUGUAACCUGCAGCGUCUGUAACCUGAAGCGUCUGUAACCCAAGGUACCACUGUAUAGCGGAUGUUUUAAAGCACAGGACCAGGCUUGGACUGUGUGUGUUUGUGUGUGGUCAUCUGUGAGCAAGGUGACAGUUUAUUACUCCUUGAUAAAAGGGGUUGUCUGGAGCACGGCCACCCACGGUUAGGGCAAAAUAACGUUUAGUAAUAGCUGUGGCAACUUUUCCCACUCUGUCCGAAAGCCUUUGGGCCAAAGAAUACCCAUGAGGCCUCUUUGGGCCUUGCAGCUUGCAGGCCUCAAUCCUUGCCUGGGCAAAGCAAAUUCCAAUGCAGAGAAGGCCAAGCAGAGGCUGCCACACAAACAAGGCUAAACCUCCCCGUCGCACAUUCACACUUUCCCCACAGUCCUCCAACGACACUAAAUAUUAAUGAGUGGCCUACAUUGAAAACCACAAGCACCUGACUCUCCCCUCCCCACCCCCACCCCCCCAACCAGCUCCCUCUCCAUCAUUCCUUCUGCAGGGCAGCUGCCCUCACGCAUCACCGCAGAGACCAUCUUCUCUACCAGCAGGAACCCUCCCUCCCCUUCCCCUCCGCCUUCCCCCCUCCCCGCCACCCCCUUCCCCCCACCACCGCCAACUGGGGACUCGCCAGAAGGCAAAGGGGGGCUGGUGCAGCUGAGCAGGAGGAAAGCCGUACCAGCUGUGCACUCAUUUCCAGAGGUUUCUCUUCCAGCCCAAGCUUCCUUUGCCGCCCUUCUGCGGAGGCAGUGGCAGUCAAGGCCGGAAGACAGCAUUUCCAAUAAAAAAAGCAGACAGAAUAAGGGGUGGGGGAAAUGGCUGUGUGCGUGUUUUCGUUGUUUGUAGGUGAGUUAAUUAGACCUUCUUGGAAGACCAACUAUUGCUUUGCCCAACCGAGUAAGAUCAGAAGCAGCCAAACUAGUGGGGUCUUCUUUUUGGGGGUGCACAGAUUUUCUUCCCACUCCAAGCGGGAACAGGGUUGCCAACCAACCAGAAAAAUAGUGGUCCAACCAGGUUCUAGUGUUCCAGUUUCUGCUUUUAGUCCAGCUGCCAGAAAAGCAAGGGACAAGGCUGGUUAUCCUACCCGCCCCAAGCUGUUUUUAUUUUUAGCCGUAUGUCAAAUCAGGUGAAUAGAUGGCUUUGGUGUCCCUGCGCUCUCUCCCAGGCCUGCCAGAAAUCUCUGCAUGGCACUCUUUAGGUCCAUUCCCCACCAGAUCCACUUGGGACUUUUCCAGGAACCAGCAUUUUUCUAUUUCAAGCCUUAGCAAUCCAGGUAGGGGAAAAACUGCAUGCAGAAAGAAUAGGAUGGACGGAGGAGGUUUGCAUCUUCAUGCUGGACUGUGGAACAGUUUUGCAUUCUCUCUCUUAUGUAUGCACACAUGCACAUUCCUCAUGCACAGGCACGGACCCAUGGAAGGGCUUCCAUGCCUUUUACAAGCUACAUGCUUUCAGCAGGCAAAUCUUUUCCUGCUGUACAGAUAUUGGGUCACAUUCACUGUUGAAUUUCCUCCUAUCAAGCAGAAGCGAUUGUUUAAAGCAAAGGGUGGUUUUUUUAGGGGGGGUGGAGGAGUGGCAACCCUACAUUUACGCUAACACAAGUAUAUUUAUUUUCCACAAGUAUGCCCAGAACUCCGAAUACUUGCACUUUUUUAAAAAAAGAAAGAAAGAAAAGAAAUUAAGAUUCUGCACCCAGGCAAUUCAAAUUCUGUACCAACGAAAACUUGAUUCUGUACCCAUGGCAGCUGAAUAUUUUAUUCAGGCACCUUUCUGGCACACGGUCGCAGCCAUAAGGUUUAGAAACAUUCUUCUUCUUUUAACAAAAGUUUAAAUUGCCAGGGAGCUGAGCUGGAGACAAUAUUCUGAAUACUUUCUGUUUGCCUGAGGGAAAAGAGCCCUGAGUCUGCCUGUGGCAAAUGGUUGGCUAGAUUUUAGGGUAUGUCUGCACAAGUAAUACACUUCACUUCCAGGCGUAUUUGGUCAUGAUUCACGGCCUAGGGAAGCUCGGCAGAGCCAAGCCCUGGAAUGUAUGGCUUCAGCCCCGAACCCGUUUUCAACGCCAGCAUUUAGAUAUUGAACUUACGAAGCAGGAAUGUCAUUUAGAGGGAAGAUGGCACCAUUUUGCCUCCUACUCCCCAUUUCAGCCAACAUGUCCUUAUUUCUUAAAGGCACCUAUAGCAGGAAUAGAAGAAACCUUUGGCCCUUCAGGAUGAACUACAACUCCCAUCAGCCCUAACAAGGAUGGCCAAUGGUCAAGGAUGAUAGGAGUUGUAGUUCAGCAAAAUCGGAAGGGCCAAAGGUUCCCCACACCUGACCUAUAAUUUGACUCAGUCCAUGAAUUCUGAGGGCACGGCCAAACUGUCACUAUUUUCGGGUGGGAUUCAAUCACACACCAGCAGCAAACCCAAUCCCACUUCAAAUUGGACUUCUUGUAAUAGGGAACGUGACUGAAAAAUGCACUGGGAACUGUAGGGCAAUAUUUGCUCAAUCUAGCAAUUGGAGCUUCCAGACGACCUGUUCCUUGAGCAAUGACCCAGAUUUGUUUGUGGGGAGGAUGGACAAUGUAGCAUCAAAGCAAGUGCCUUCCCUGUCGCUUUCCUUAACUCAAGCAUUCCAAUAUCUAGGGGAAGCAGGGCCUCCCAAUCAAUUGUGCAAUCUGCAUGAACAAUAUGUGAUCAAAUUCUAUUAUUCUAUGAAAUCCUGCCUGAAUAUAGCGACAGCCUAGAAGCACCCAUUGUCUGAUCUCCUUGCAAGCAAAUUAAGAGGAUCAGUGCUCCACAGAAAUUUCAUCUCGAAGCAGCUUGAGUGGCAAUUGUUACAAUCAAUCCAAAGGGCAAAUGUAUUAAGUGUGCGUGUCAAAAUGGUGCCCACUGGCAGUCUUAUAGGUUGUGUGUAUAAAAUACCCCACUCUUCUUAACAUGCACUGCUUGGUUGCAAUUUCAUCUUGAAUACAUCCAAUUGGCCUUGAUGAAAAUCUUGCCUUGCUUGCCUUCACCCCAACUGAAUUCCAGAAGGGGCAGCCCUGGUAUAAACAGGGCACCUCUGAGGCUUCUCUCCUGAUACUGAGCAUUUGCUGCCACCCACCUGGCACUCAGGAAUGCAGAUUUCUAGAUGAUAAGAUGCCACUUCCCCUGAAGUCUUAAACAAAGCUUAACUACCAACGAACAAAAGUCUCAUCUCUUUGGAGGCAAAAGUAAAGAUAACCUCUUGAGGCUGGCGCCUCUCCCAGUCGGCCAGGGCUUGUCCUUAGAAGUAAGGAGGACGAAUUAUUCCCUUUGAUUCCUCGCCUGUCCUACACGCACAUAACACAUGCGCACUAUCCAUUUCCCUUCGUGCUGAGAUCCAUCCAAACAGCCCAAAGUGGCCCUUGAUUGAUGGCAGUGUUUGCCCACUAAGAGCACCCUGCGGUCCAAUCCUUGCACGUUCCCCAAUUCCUCCCCAGUCCCUAUUCAAAGACCGGCGGCGUCUCAUGUCGGUCCCCGAGGUGCUAUUAAUUAAAAAUACAUCCAAUUAAAUGGCAGGUGAGGACGUGCCACACGGACUCCCUCCUUAUCCCGCUACGAUUGGCUCAUCUGCGCUUUGAUUCGAACGAGACGCAGGGAGAGGGAGAGAGAGGCUACAGGAGGGUUCUCUGAACCUGUGCCAACACAAGGCCAUGCCAGUCUGUUCGGCUAGCACUGUGUGUGUGUGUGUGUGUGUGUGUGUGUGUGCAUGCGUGUGUAUAUGCACAAGAGACAUGGCAGACUGAUUUCCAUAGCCAGUGGUUGGCGUUAUUAUAUUUCAUCAGCUGCGGCCUGGCCCCAUUUUUAUGCACUCCUUCUCCCAAGUAACUAAGCCUGAAUCUAGGAAGGGGAGGAGGAAAAAAGAAAACAGAUUCUCUAGCAGAGAAACAGUUGCUAAGUCAACACAGAUUCCAUUUGAACAAGGUUACUGGAGACGGGGUCUGCAAGCAAAGAUUUGCGUAGUCAUUUCAAACCAAGAUGUUAACUUCUUCGGUUUCUCCCCCCACCUCUGCCCAAGCCCCAGCCCCAGCCUUAUUUCUCAGCAUCCAUCUUUAACAGCUUUCCUUUUCCACAGCUGCUAUAUAUGUAACCCCAAGCCCUUGAAGCCCAAAAUAAACCUGAUUCAAGAGAUCCAUGAUUUGAUCUCAGUACAUAUUUUUCUUUGGUUAAAAGCAGCUGGCAAGACUCACAGAUUUGGAUCAGGACUAUGGUUCUGAGGGAAGGAGCCUUAACCCUUUCCCUCAUGCUGAUUCCCCAGCUUAAAUCACCCUCAACCUGCUAACAGCCUGGGAGCAGGAAGGCAAGAGGCACAAUACAGUAUUUACUCUUGUGCAGAGGUUCCGUGGCAGAAUGCACACCACUCUGGCAAGCUCUUGAUAUUCUGUAUUUGUGUCACUGUCAAUGGCACAAAUCCAAGACAGCUUUUGUCCUUUAACCAUGCCGAAGUAAAGGGGAAAAACGUUAAACUGCGAAACAUUCCAUUUCAACGUUUUAUUUCUGUAUCAACACACAAUAAUCUACAAUGACCCACAACAGCUAUAGUCGCUCUCCAGGACGGAGCCAGAUAUUCAUGGGCUCAUAUUCCAAGCUAAUUGUAAGGUAUCAUGCAGAAUCCAUGGUUUUAAAUUCUGUGCUAAUGGGUGGGUCAAGUGUUUGAUAACACCUUUUUAAAUAUAAUGUUGACUCCUUACAUUCACAAGGAUUAGCAAUUUAGGCUGCAAUCCUAUGUCCCCUUUCCGGGGAGUAAACCCACUCGAACACAGCGAGAAUUACUUCUGAGCAAACACACACAGGAUUGCACCUUCGACUAGGCUUUUGGGCAUGAGAAUCUGGCGAGGAUCAGAAAUGCAACUUGCAGAAAAGCAAACCGUGAAACGCCCAAGUUCUAAACAAACAUUUGCAUUAAUAAUCUCACAUUUCAAGAGUUAAAAGCCUUGGAAAGGGACUCCCAGAGUGAAAACAAAGCCAUGUCUGAGAAGACUGAGUAGCAAUAGCAUAAAUAUCCACACCAACAGUGGGCAGCAUAAACCAACAUGGAACACCAAAUCCGGCCAUUAGGCCGGAAAGUGGGCUUAUUCCCAAUCCUGGGCGGAAGAAGCCCUAUCAAGGUGUUCCCAAGCUUUGGAAUCUGCCGCAUUUCUUGCCGGCUUCACGUUCCCGCUAAUUGGAGAUUUUAAUCUUCAGCGACUUUCUGCUCAGGGGUGCUGACAGGAUCACCAGCUGUGCAGCUAUUCCAGGAGCAGCGGCUUUUUAAUCAAGCCAUCUUGGCAGGGAAGGUGGGGUGGAACUGGGGAAGGGGAGGGGGAGGUAAGUCAAGGGGAGGAGGGGGUGAGGGCUUGGGAGUCCACACACAAACACACAGAGAGGGCCCCCAAAAGAAGGACUUAGCUGUGGGAGGAGAGCUGAGCACAAGAGUGCUCUCCCCACUUGCAACUCCCGACAACCGAUAGGCAGAACACUGCCGCUGACCCUGGGAGGUGAAAUACAGUCACGAUGGCUUAUGCGCCUUAUGCGCUUGUCAACAAGGGCCUGAUGGAGAGGACCACCCCCUGUUCAUCUCCACUUUUCCAGGAAUCAAAAUCGUUCUGCCUCUGCCAUACGGGUAGAAGGUCCCUUUUCAGCUACCAGGCUGCUAAUAAUAAUAAUAAUAAUAAUAAUAAUAAUAAUAAUAUCCCACCCAUCUGACUGGGUUGCCCCAGCCACUCUGGGUAACUAAGAAUUGUUGCCAAGAGACCAUUUCUUGGAGAGUUUGUCCUAGUCUGUUUAAAAGCCACUUGCCACCGCCACAUCUUACAGCGGCAGGUUCCAUCAGUUUAGGCACGCGUUGCAUAAAGAAGUACUUUAGUUUGGCCUCCUUGGUUUGAUAAAGGGUGGUGAUCCCAACUGGUGGUGGUGUUAUAAGAGAGACGGACGGACCUUCGCUUUCACCGUUCCCAAUGUUAUAAGCCUUUCUCACUGCCUUGUAAGUAGGCACACAAAAGCUUCUAGCCUGAAAAGCUGCCAGCAGCCUUCUGCUCGCUUCAAGCCUCCUCUAGGAACGUGCUGCUUUUCUGCGCUAUGGUACAGAGCAGGGCGCUCCCCUCCUCUCCCAGUCUGCUUGGUUCAACCCAAGGUGCAGAGCCUUUAGCAGCUGACUCAUUCGCUUGCAUGCAACCCCUUCUUUGCCUCUAUAAGGUGACCAGGUGAAAAAGAGGAUGGUGCACCUUCACCUUUAAUGGUUGUGAAGACAAAGGAAUUUCAGCAGGCAGUUCCUGCAUGGCAAGCCAUACCUGCUGAAAUUUAAAGGUUCAGGAGCCCCUGUCUUCUUGCCAUGCAAGCUAUACCAGCUGAAAUUCCCUCUUCUGCACAACUGUCCUUUUGCACCUGGCCACUCCUAUAUCUAUGCUUGUGCUUAAAUGCUUCACGUUCUCCCAUCCUGCUGCUUUGGGCUGCAAUCCUAUGCAUGCUAAUUUGGGGGCAAAAUGGUUGGAAUCAUUGGGGCUUGUUCCUGAGCAGACAUGCAUAGGGUUGCAUACUUAACGUUCUUAAUCAAUUUGGCAGAUUAAGUUGAUGGAUUAUGCUGAAAUGGCAAAAAUGACGGGAAGAAUCAGAAAUCAGGAAGACGAAAAUUUCAAUAGAGAAUGGGGAAAAUUUAUAAUUUAUCUUAAAAACCAUUGUGUAAACAGCUAAAAUCAUUAUUAGGAUUAGAAUAACAUUUGUAGUUUAAUGGUGAAUUUUGGACACAGUGGAGAGGUAAAAGAUUUGGAAUCUUAUAAAAGAUGCAGGAGGAAAUGACUAAAAAUAGGACCCACAAAGGGGAGGAGGGAAGUCCAGGAGAUGCUUUGGAACCUUGUUUUUGUGUUGCAUGUUGUAUAUGUGAUUGUAAAACUUUAAUCUGAAAAAGCAAAUAAAUAAAUUUACAGAGUUCUUAAUCAAUAAGGCUUUUUCUCACAGAAAAGUUCCUCCUACCCUCGGGUCAUUCUGAUGGCCCAUUUCAGCAUGUUUUCCAGCUCCAUGACAUUCCUUCCAGAUAUGAGGGAACAAAUCUAUAUGGAAAUCACAAUGUGGUUAUACCAGAGACACCGUUCGGAAGUCCCAAUGAUCCCUUAAAAGAGUGAAUGGCUUUUAAAGCAGUAUAGGUCUAUGGUGGUACAGAUAUAGCUCUAUGGUACAUGGCAUUCCCAGACGCAUCACUUAUUUCAGCGGCACUGAGGAACCUGUGGCUCUGCAAUGUUGUCAGACUCAAACUCCCAUCAUUCCCAGCUAGCGAUGGACAAGGAUGAUGAGAGUUGUAGUUCAACAAAUUCUGGGGCCUAGUCCUCCAUUCUGGCCUUGUAGGGGGUUGGACUAAAUGACCCUUGGGGUCUCUUCCAGCUCUACAAUUCUACGAUUCUAUAACAAGAGGCUGAACCUAGGUAAGCUGGUUAGCUAUUAGGUUUUGUGCAUCUCUGGAGGUCAUCUUUGCAAAUGGUUUAUCAAGCAAAACAUGAUUAGGGGUUUUCUGUCAGUGGCACAAAUCUGCUUUACAUACAUACGUACAUAGCUCUCUCCCUGCUAACUGGUAUGGCAAUCCCAAGACAAAAUUUAUUUACCUAAGAACUUCAGUACUGAGCCGCAAGACAACGUGGCAAAGGGAUUGCUGGGUACACCCAGUUAAUGGGGUGUAGCAUAACAGGCACAGUGAUAGGAUGCAAAGGAAGCAUCAAAGAGCAUGCAAUAUAUUUAUACUUAUUAAAAUAUUGUUAAAUUGUAUUUAUUUAGUGUGGAGCAUUAAAUGUGUUAGUUGUUUGUUUGUUUUUAAAGAAUACUCUUCAUAUUUGACACCUGCCCAUUUUGAGCCUUUAGCAAGGAGUGGAGUAUACUUUUUUUUUUAAAAAAAAAAGGAACUUAAAAUGAAUGGAAAGUAACCAGCAAUCAAUUUGUGCAGCUCUUUUUUGGUACACAAAAUGGCUCCCUGCCCUCCUUCUCCUUCGUUUUUACCUUCACCGCCAUCUUGGGAACCAGAACGCUCAAGGUCCCAUUUUAUUGACUGGGGAAACGUAGUCUGAGAGGAAGCAAUAUCCCCCGAGGCAGCGCUGUGAAUCAAACGCUGAGCUGGAAUCCGAAUUGAAGGCAAGACAAUCAAUCAAUGAACAAAACAGACCUCACAACUUUCAUUUAAAAAAAAAAAAAUCCCCAGAAGCAUGCCAAGCAUGCCUCACCCUCAGUUGCCUGACAGUCUCAUUGCUUUCUAACUUGACUCUCCCCAGCCUCCUUUCCACCCCUUAUACCUGGUCCCCCUGAUCACAUAAGUAGUGUCCUAUCUCUUUCUCUUCCUUACAAUACUUCCUCAAGCCCUCAUCUUUUCAGUGAAGUAUUUUUCUUAAUCUUUAUGCCCAACUUUAUGCUCAAGUACAUGCAACUGCAUUUCCUCACACCCAUCUGUGGCUACCUAUCAUCUCUUCCCCUCCCAUCUUGUUUAUUUGUUUUAAUAUUGUACAUCUCUGUUCUCUUCCAUCGUAGAACUCAAGGUGACAAGUUCCACUCAACGUGGAGUUUUCCACUCAACAUGGAGUUUUGAGGAGGUCUCCUAUCCAGACACUCACCACAGCAAGUCCUACUUAGCUGCACCACACCCUCAGACUAUGCCCAGGGUCUUCCCCCACUGCUUACAUUACAUUGUAAGCUCAUUGGAGGCAGGGACUUGCCUGGAUCAGUGUACAUAGGAAACUCUGUAAAAUGCCAUGUACGGAUGCUGCUCUAUAAAUAAUCAGCUAAUCUGCAUAUGAAACAUAUUGCUCUUCAUACUUUUCAGAAUGGAAUGCAGGUUGCUUAAUGGUUGACUUUAUGUUUCCUUAAUAUAAAACCCAGGAAACAGGCAUGAGAUUUUUCAUGCCCCCUGCUACGUGGCAAUAAUUAGUUCAAGAACCAGCUUUGGAUUUUAUUGCGAGGAUGCCUUCACCAGCAAGAAAUGAGCACCUUUUGCUGCACUGCGAACUCCAAGAACUCCUCUGUCUCAGCAUAGCUGACUUCUGUGGCUUCAAAGGUCUCCCUUCAGCAAGUGAUAAAAGGGAAUGAAACCAAAACAGAGCUCAGAUGGGGUUAACAGGCCAUGAUAACCCAAAAGAGGGAAGCCAGAGCAGUCCCCCCCCCCCAUGAAGUGCUGGGAAGGUUUAUUGGCAUGUGCUGCCCUCUUGCGUCUUUUAAAGAAAGCUUGCCGCUUUCAUCAAGAGCAAAACCAGCCAUCUGGCCAGCUUUGCAGGCCCGUAUUUAACUGCACAACAGUUAUUUAUGCGGCACUUCUCUCUAAUGCACUCAUAAUGCUCCUCGUGAUAACUUGAUGGUUCUUACAAACAACCUUGUAAGGUAGGCUGGACAGCCACAUUUAAAAAAAAAACGUUUUAAAGCAUUUGCAGCUCACUUUUCCAUUACUAAUGUUGAAAACAACUGUUGCUAUUUUUAAAGUGUUGAAUUGAAAUAAAACAUACAAAACAAUUUUAACAACAAAGAUUAAAAUUAGUGGAGGGGGUGGAGCAAGCAAUAAGCAAAAUCAAAUAAUUAAAUAGGUAUCUCUGGAGAUGGUAAUCCAGAGACUCAGCUCCCUUUAUAGAAAAGUCUCUUUCUCUGACCAUCCGCUAACCUCAGAAGGUGGGGGUUCCUUGAUCAGGCCUACCAAUGAGCAUCUAAAACAUGUUGGGGAAUCUGUGUUUCUUCAGUGCUCAUUCAGCCCCAGCCAACAUUGACCGAUGGUCUAGGAUGGGCAGGAGUCCAGCAGUAGAGGGGGGAGGCAAGUGGAGGGGGCAAGCUCCGGGUUUGGAGGGGCCUUGCCCUGCCCCAACCACCCUCCGGAGUUGCCCAUGAGCAGGAAAUAUUUGCUCUUUUAAAGACUUCCAUACAAAUGACUCUACAGCUUUCACUUCUAAAUACAUGGGGCGGUCAUACUCAAAGAAUGGCAACCUAAGGAGAGUUGGCACCGUGUCUGUUGGCAGUAACUAGCAUAUACACAGAGCCAGGCCUGCAGAUAUCCUUGUGGUAAAACAAAAACAAAAACAUGUACGUAAUCUGGCACUGAAAGUUUCCAGAGGCUUGGAAGAUUCGGAACAUUUUUAUACUGUGUGGUGGGACUUUAUUAUAUUCAUAUACCAACACAACUAGCCUCCAGGACUCUGGUUCUUAUCAAUGUGGGAAAUAGUGACUUCUUAAUGCCUAAUGGGCAUCUCCUCACACCUUCCAAUUUUGUUGACAAAUUAAGGGAAUGCACAUGAGGUUCGCCUGGUGCCUUCCUUAUACACCUUCUGGUGCCAGGGGAAAACAAGGCCUUGAGCUGAGUGACAUCCAUGCCUUUUUAAAUGUGUUGUGGGACAGGGUACUAUUGGUUUGUUUCUGUUCUUAUUUUUAUUAUGUAUUUUGUGUUUUUUAUAUCGUAUGUUGUGAACCUUCCUGAAAUCUGAGGGGAUAGGGUG